UGGGGUGUGGCCAAGUGGUAAGGCACAUGGUUUUGGUCCAUGCAUUCGGGGGUUCGAAUCCCUCCACCCCAGCCA
Molecule: transfer RNA, 75 nt
Filed under: Saccharimonas aalborgensis (SeqCode)
Lineage: Bacteria; Candidatus Saccharimonadota; Candidatus Saccharimonadia; Saccharimonadales (SeqCode); Saccharimonadaceae (SeqCode)
Also listed under: 6 other names
Description: tRNA-Gln
Rfam family: tRNA
About the family: Transfer RNA (tRNA) molecules are approximately 80 nucleotides in length. Their secondary structure includes four short double-helical elements and three loops (D, anti-codon, and T loops).
Source: RNAcentral